This is a non-coding RNA of Drosophila melanogaster (fruit fly), 9895 nucleotides long. Lineage: Eukaryota; Metazoa; Arthropoda; Insecta; Diptera; Drosophilidae. The record is from Ensembl.
AGUUUGCCCGCGUCGUUCGCCUUGAACAGUGAGAGAAAAGCCGAGACAACUGAGAGGAAAUCGGCUUUAGAGAAAACCAGCAAAAGAAAUAGGAAAGAGUGCUGGGGAAAAAAGGGUUUUUCGGGAUGAAAGUGUAAAUUUUCCCAAAAUUCUCGAUUCGUUGUGCGUUUGUGUGCCUCCUCAAGAGUUUCAAUUUUUAUGGAAAUCUGUGUAAUGUCAUUGCGAAGCAAAAAGGACAAUUGAUAAUGAGUCAUUCGAACGGAAUUCGAAUGGCAUUUCAGUGGCAAAAGGCCAAAAGGCAAAUUAAGUGCUCGCAUUGAUGCUUAAUUAGGAACGGGGAAUUUUUAUAGGUUUCGCAUGGAAUUUAAGAGUUGUUUUUUGUGUGUUCCUGCCACGGCCACGACCAAUGCCACCCCCUUGUUUCGGAUGAGAGAUGGAAAAACAUUGGUGAUUUUCAGCCGGGACAGGCUCCGUGGUUCAUCCUGCCAGUCGGCCUUGUGCAGUUACCCGCCAGCAGCCGAUGUCGCCAGUUGCCAGUUGCCAGUUGCCAGUUGCCAGUUGCCAGUGCCCAGUAACCAGUGGCCAGUUGCCAGUGCCAGUUGCCACGAAUAAAUCUUAGUCAUCAGCAGACUGGCCAAGAUCAGCCGCCGUACACACAUAACUCGGUCUAAAAGCCAGAAUCCAGUUGUUGCUAUUGCCUUUGCUGUUGCAUUUGCUGCCUGGUGACACUUGCAGACUUUUUGCAGCGGAACCACGACGACGAGACGUCCAGCAAAGUUGCAUGGAGCUGAAUUGAUUUAUGGCGUAAAUUUUAUUGUCUGGCCGGGAACUGAAACUGGAACUGGACUGGAACUCCUGACCGACCGACCAGCCAGCCAGCCAGCCAGCCAGCCAGUUGCUAGUCGGUGGCUCUUAACUUGUUAGCCACUAACUGUAAAGCCUCGAAAGUGCCUAAGUGUUGGUGAAUCGUGCGCGUGUCAUGUGACAUUGACUUUUAGUCGGGUGAAGUUUUCCUCCAUAACCAUACCCAUAUCCCCAGCCCACAACAUAUCACAUCCAUAUCCAACUAGACGUAUAGUAUGGUACGUCCACGCCAAACGUGUACAACUUUGUGUAUAAAUUAUAUUAUAAAACUGAAACAUAAAUUGCAACUUAACAAACUGUAACAACUUUCGCUUUGGACCGCAAAAAGAGAACAGAACCAUGCUGUGGACAAAGUUUGCCGUGCAUUUGUUGGGUCAACACAACAAGUAAGUUUUAAGCGACACGUUUAUUUCUCGCAAAUUGUUAAGUAAACAGAAUGCUUUUGAGUUCGCAACUUGGGCAUAAUAUUUUUCAAAUCAUUUCUAUUUAAUUAAUACAAAUGAAAGACUGCAUUCAGUUUGUUCUUUUAACUUAGGGAAAAUCACAACGACUUCUGGGUACCCCCAAAAAGGCAGACGUCAGUCGUAACCGUACUCUGUGCUAGAGCGCCCAAACCCCGGAGAGCCAAAGAAACCGAAGACCCCAAAGAAUUGGAAGAGGAACUCUGUGGAACCACAAAGGCAACAUGUUGCACAUGCACUCGCCAAAAGCAAUUUGCAUACAAAUGUUGCCAACGCACUUCAAAAACUGCACAAUCACAGGGGGGGGGGUUUAUUUUUUUGGUGGCGGUGGGUGGGGUGUUGCAGCGGAAAAGGGUAAAAGCCGCUUCAUAAUUUGAUAUUAAACAUGCACGCGUGUCUCCUUCUCUUUUACUCGCAUAUGUGCAACUUGUAAAUUUGCAAAUUGCUAAAACGCAUGACAGGAACAAAGGGCGAGGAUCUUAAUGGCGGGGAAACUGGGGGCAGACUAUCGGGCAGCUGUGUGAAUUUGCAUUUACAUCAAGGAAUCGCAGGAAAGGAAAAGAACUACAAAAAGUUACCCAAAAUUCAAGAAAACUGAAUAAAAAAGAUGUGCAGUUUGCUCAAUUGACUUUCAAUUGCAAAAUAUACAAAAUGCAUUGGGAAAAAGAAGUAGAGCUCAAGGCGAAAAGAAAUUUUCGAUUUGGUCCCUCGAUUAUUUAAAAUCACCUGUCUGCGCAAAGUUUCCUAAAAUUGUUUGUUUUAAAGAACAAGCUGUUCAUAUUUCUUUAAAUAUUUUAGCUAUGCUAAUCAGUUUUUUCCAGUGCCUCUUUGAAUAAAAAAGGCAAGCCCAAAUGAAUUUAUUUUCAAUUUUAUUUUCAAUCUGCUUUGUGUCCGUCAUAUGAUUGACAUGGUCGAUUGAACUGGCAAACGAGCGAGGGAGUGGAACGAUACACAUAUCGUUUAUUUUUGGCAGCAAGUGUUUGCGUUCGAUUUGCAGUUUUGUUAAUACUGCACUCGAAAAUACCCGAGACACCUCCUUAAACUCAAAUCCAAAAUGCGAGGGCUCUUGAAACCAAAAAUCUCCGGAGUCUUAAUAAGCUGCUUGCAAAAAAGAAGUACACACUUUUUAUAUCAGAUCUGUACACGCAAUUGAGUGUACAUACUUCUUUUUUUUUGUGAGUUAACACGUCUGUGUGUGCAUAUAUAAAUCAUAUUUAUGAGACAUUUCCCCAGCAGGGAAAAUACGAAAUGGAAUAAAAAAAAAAAACGUAUGAAUGUUAAAUAGGCACGCAACGUGCGAAAGGGAUGGCCACAAAAUGCGUCACUCCCCCCAUUCGCCUGACUUUUCCUUAACGAAGGAAAACAAUAAUCAAUAAGUAGUAAUACAACGGCCGACAAUUGUGGGGAAACUCACCCCCGCGACUUAGUCGAAUUUCCUCCCUCUCGCUCAUAUGUGUUAGAAUUUUUGUAGCCUGGGUAGUUCAUAACUUUUCUCUCAUAUGUGUGUGUGUGUGUGUGUCUGUGGUGGUUUUCCUUGGUUCUUGGCCAGGACUUCAGGCGUUUGACAGCCAUGUUUGUCCUUCGCACAUGCACACACACACACACGCCCACACAUGAUUGUAGGCGUCUCCUUGUGGCGGCAACCCCCCCAAAAAAAAGCAGGAAAAAAAGAAAAAGUGUGGCGGAAAAGUGUGCCACAAACUUUUCGCCCGAAAAAAGUUUGUCUGCUGACACAGAUCUGUGUGUAAAUGAGCGAGAUAACAAACAUUUGCAAAUUUUCCAGACAAUACCUCUUUUUACACUCUAAUCGUGCACAUAAAAAAAAUAAUUGAAUUGCUUCCGCUAAAUAAUCUUUUUUAUAGAUUCUAAUUAAAGCUUUUUUAUAUUAAUAUUAGCUUAAUAUUUAUAUACAAACAUUAACUGAAAAUUGCUUAUCCUUAUAACCAUUGAUGGUUUAGAAUGUGCGUUUUUAAAAUGUAUUAAUUCAGUUCCACAUUUUUGCUCUGAGUGUAAUCAACCUUUUUUUUUGGCUUGUUAAAGAGUUGCCGAAAAACAAAUUGGAAAAAUUUGGUUAAACUUUGGGUUCGUUUCAGUUUUGGGCUCAGCUGAUUUAUUGUCAUAAAUUUCAUUGAAAUUCAUGAGGCUCUUGGAAGAACCUCAAAAAUGUAAAAAACUGGGCGUGGCCUAAAUGAUGUCCGCGUGUGCGUGUGUGUGUGUGUUGCUGCGCCUACGCAACGGCCCAAAAGAUUUAUUUCAAUGGAACGAAGAAAUUAUAAUAUUUUCUAACUUCUAUCAUGGAAAAAGAAAUAUAAAAGAAAUAUGUACAUACAAUUCUGUGGGGCGAUUAUGAAAAGAGCUGUUGAUGUAUGAAUUGUAUGGGCCUCUCAUAAAUCUAGGGGCCCUGUCAAGGUGUCCAAUACGUUUUUCUGGCCUGUCCGUGUGUUUGUGCCUCAAGUGGCAGUCAUAAAUUUGAGAUUUAUGUUCAUCUCUCUUUUCGAUUUUGUUGUUUUUUGGUUCCUAUUUUUUUUUGUCCAUUUACCAUUUUUUCGGUUUUGGUCAAGAGAACCUGGCACAAAGCACAGUUCUUUACUCGGGCUUGUUAAUUAAAUGCGAUUGCAUCAUCGCAUAUUUCAGCUGUCCAUCUACUGUGCACAAUGCGGGUUAAGUAAAUACAUACACCGAUGUAUUUGGUAUAUAUAGAUUACUUCGCAUUUUUAUUUUUCACUUGUUCCUAUAGUUUACUCUUGUUUGUAAUUAUGUUAAAAAAGGAUUUAGUUUGGUUUUUUCUGGAGUUAAUAUUAUUAAUUUGUUGGCCCUUGCUGUAUAUAUCUUUAUUUCAUUUUAUCAAGCUAUGACUGGACAGAGAUUGUCGCUAAUCGCCGCUCAUGUACCCCAAGACAUGCCGCAUUUGUCUUUGUCUUUUAUUUUUCGGCUUUGUCUGCUCUGACACAUUUUUCUUAUGAAUUUUCAGUAUUUUCCCCCGGACUCACUAAUUUUUCGUGGCGUGUUUGUUCUGACCGCCAAAAUUGCUUGUCCAACAUUUGUUGAACAUGUUUUUGUACUUUGUUUCGGUUAUUUUUUUUUAAUAUUUUUUUUUUUUAUGUGGGGAACCAACAACGAACUACACGCAAGUGCUGAAGAUUUUCAGGCAGAUCCGUUAAACAUCAAAAUCAACUUUUUCAAGCUCAUUAAACAACCAGGGAAAAAAAGUGAAAUAAAGCCAAACGUUGACCUUCAAAAACGCAACGCAACCAAGCGAAAAUGGCAGCAACAAAAACAAAAAUGAUUAAAUACAUAAUACGAAAAAUAACAAAAGUCAGAGCCGCUUGGAAACAGGUUGUUGUUUCGCUCUCUCUAUUGUUAACAUUUUAUUAUGCUUUUUUCAAGCGGAAAGCAACAAAAGGCCCCAAAAACUCUUGCAAUUUUACGAUUAUUUACGAUCGAAAUACAUUUCUCUGCCGAUUUUUGACCUUGCAGUUGUUGCACUUAACACGUGCCAGAAAUUGAUAAUGAAAGAACGCGUUUUCGGGUGUUAAUCACACUUCGGGCUAUAAAAAAAAACAUGCGAAAAAAAGAAAAAAAAAACAGCUCUCUCAAAAAGUAAAGCCCGCAAAAGGCGCCAAAAAUAUUUCGACGACGAACGACUCAGACUAAAUUUAAAGUCAGAAGAAUCGUUAUUUGUAAAACUACUUGUCAAAUACCCUUUUGGUAAAAUCUUGAGAUUUGGAAACUUUUUUUUUUUUUGGAUGUUUUACAAAACGCGCAAAAAUCUUUAAAUAGUGUACAUAAUGUAUGCAUAUAGGUACAUAUUGAGAACUUUACCUUUUAUAUAUGUAUGUACAUAUAAUCCACAAAUUUACAGAAGUAUCUUUACCAUACCCAAUAAUACUCUAUAUACACGAAAUAUUCUAAUCAUAAAUGGACGUUUGCCGCGAUGACGAAGACUUUGCCUAUUGUAGAUUUUUAUUUGCCCAUGGUUUGUGUUGCUUUUGUUGUGGGCACUUCAAAAGUCGUGUGCGCGUUGUUGUUGUGUUGUGGUGUUUGGUUGUUGUAUAUCGGUUGUUUACUUUUACGGUAAAUGCGAAAAGCAACAACACUAAGGACUACAAAAAAGCGCGCGCUCGUCGCGCGUAUCUAGAUAAAUAUCUGUGAAAAUACACACUUGAGGCCAAGAUGCUGCACAGUGGGCGCCAUAGAAAUACGGCACUAUAGAAAAGUUUUAGGUGAACUUAGCAUAUUCUCUAUUAAAGGAAAGAAAAUUACACAUAUUCUACUGAUGAAACUAAAAUUUGGAUAAUAUUCAAUUGCUUGCUGUUAGUUCAAAGAUUAAAAAGUGAAAUAAUUUUUGGUGUAUAAUUGUGUGAGUAAACAAUGAAAAAGCGUGAUUAAUAAGUCUAAAUUCUAUGCAUAUUGAGACAACAGUUUGGUUCUAAAACGCACUUAUUACAUUAAGAUAUGUUUAUGAAACAAAUUUUCUUUUCUUUUUAUUCUCUGAAUACUUCCAAUAUCGUGACCUCACCUGUUCCUGGUUUUCUUGCUGCCUUUUCCAGCGGAGGCAACGACCAACAAUAACAACAAGCAAAGAAGACGCAGCGCAAAAAAAAACAAUCGUAAACAGAUCAUCGAACUCAGCCGCUGUGUUGUUGCUCCUGUUGUUGUUGUUGCUGUUUGUUGGCUGCCGUUGGCCUUGAUGUGCCUCAAAAAUUAUAGUUUUUUUUUACGGUGCAAGCUCUUUUUUUGUGGCUUAAAACCAUUUAAUUGUUUCAUUAAUUAAAAGUCGUUUAUUUAGAUAUUUUUUUUUUUAAUUUUACUGCCGUUUUGGUGAUAUUAAUAGAGUUGACAAAGCGUUCGGCGCCCACGCAGCAAGCAGCGACGUUGACGUCGGCAGAGCUGCUUUCACCGCUGCUUGCGUCAUGUUGGGCGACAAAGCUGCAACGGCGACAAAGCAGCAACCAAUAUGCAGUUGCCAUGUGAGGGUGUGUGCAAUGCAGCCGCUAAAUGUGUGCAAUUCACCACUUGAGAAAACCACCACCGCCGAAGCAAAGAAACCCACCACGGCAGCGACGUCGAACAUCGACGAACAUCGUCGAACAUCGCAUUUCGAGUUAUUUUCUGCGAGACUUCGCUGCGUUUUUUUCAGUUGAGUUCCGGAGCUCCAAAGUCGCGCAUCAAUCGCUCGCAAACAGCAUCGUGUUUUCGCAUUCGCGUGACUUGACAGAAAUUCGUAAAAAUUGAGAAACAAUUUACAAGUGAUGAACAAAAAUAAACUUAAACUUUUAAGUUUAAUAAAACCAUCAAAUAAUACACAGUUUCGGAAAAAGAUAAUACAUUUUAAUGAAAAUCUGAAAGCAAAUAAAUUUUACAAAGUUAAUGAUUAAAAAUUAAACAAACCAAAAAACAUAAAAGACAUAAAUAAAUUCAAUUCAAAAAUUCUUCUUAAUAUCUAACUGAUAUUUAUACUACGCAGACGAAAUAAAUAAACAUUAAAUAGCUUAUUUUUGGAUGAAAUUCUUAUAUUGGAACACAAAAAGAUCAAAGUUUUCAAAAAUUUCUAAAGGGAAACUCUUGAAAUAAACUUGCUAUAAAUAUUAUAUUUUCCAUGCCUUACUGGACACAUUGGUCUAUAAAGUAAUUUAUUUUUCCUCAAAAAUAUUGUAUAUCCCUUUUUUCGAUAAAGGAAACCUAUAAUAUUUUAUUUUUCUUACUUCCUAUUUUAAAUUCUGUAGAAAAGUAAAAAGCGUAAAUACGGUUCUUAAAAUCAAAGAAAAAAGUAUAGCAUUAUUUCCUUAAAAACUUCCCAUAAAUAAAUUCUUAAACCUGAAAUAAUAUACAUAUCUAAUGAAAAAACUUUGUCCAAACUUUCCAUAGAUAUAAUUCUAAUAAAUAAUAAUAGUAAAACGCGCACAAACGCGUCCAUUUCCAGAUUAUUAAUAAUGAUUUGAAAAAUAUUUAAAUUCAAUCAAACAAAAAGUCUAUCCAGCAAAAAACGCCAACCCAAACGCCGAAAAAAAAAAACAACACUGAAAAAGCUGCCAAGCGAGAAACGACGGAGGACCAUACCAUAUAUAACCCCUAUAUAUAACCGUCGUCGUCAUCAUCAUCAUCAAGCUAGAAAUUCCCCCAGCACAAAUCCCAUGAAGAGAAUCCCAUCAGUCCGGCAACAACAACAACAACCAAGAAAUACUACAGAAUAAAACCAAAAAAAAAAAAAAAUGAAAAAAAAAAUCUGAAAAAAAGAGUUGGAAUUUUUGUAAGCUGGUAUGUGAGCUGUUGUUCGCCUCUUUUACGGUUUGAGCUCGAGUUUUGUGAAAAAGAAAAAGGGAAACGCGCUGCCAAGAUAUUUUUUACCUGGUUUUUGCCAUCAGCGAGGUAUAGAGUUCCUACGUUCAUUAUAAACUCGUAGGAACUUCAUACCGUGCUCUUGGAAGACCAAAAAACAACCAAGUGAAUGCAAAAAUCCCAAAAAGUAUGGCGAAAACAAACAAAAAGUGCGUUUUAAAACGAUGAGAAAACGCUGGACAAACGAAAAGGAAGUUGCAAAUGAUGGGAAAGUAAGAGUUACUACUAAAAAUGUUGAUCGAAAUUCAGUAGUGUGUUUGCCCAAGUUUAUUAUAGUAAUUUAUGGCAAGAUCAUAACACAAAGCUGCUCAUUAAGAGCGAAAUGCGAUGAUAUUUGGUUGGUAAGAAGUAAGGCAAUGUUAUCAUUAUUUUUAUUAAAUGUAUAUUUAAAAACUAUCUUUGCAUGAAUAAACUUGAUACUUGAUAGCUAAAAUUACAAAAAAAAAACUUUUAAUAUUCGAUCGUCAUUUUAUGCCUUUUCUAUUGGCGAUAUUAUGCUUUUAACUUAUCCAUUAAUUACAUCAGUUAGUGAAUAGGAAAUUACUUUUAAUAAAAACCGCAGAGUGCGAUUAAAAACGCUAUAAAAACGCGCGCGAAACGCAUACUACACUCCAUGCGUUUGUAGAAAAAAAUGAUCAAAAUAGAAAUAACAUUUAAACCUAACAAAAGUAUUAGAAUUAUGUUAAAACUUUUCCGCUACAAAAAGAACUUGAAAUGCAUCAGAAACUGAUCGAGAUACUGAAAACCAGCUACCGAUAAGAUAUGGAAAGGCAAUUCUGAGUGACUAAUUCCAAGUAAAGGGCGAUUGAGGUGCGGUUAAUCCGAGCCACUUAAAAGCACUUGUCAUAAAUUAACAAACGUUAUUUCUAAUCUAACUAAAUAACAAUUUCAAUUAAUUGCCACGUUAAGAUAAUGUUGGAUUUGUGGAUGCUCUGUCCCGCUCUACAUAUUUACAAACGUAUAGCCAUCUCUUUCACCGGCUAAAUGGCAUCCACUUUGAAUUUGUUAGUUGGUAAAGCAGCUAAUGGCAAUUGUUUUCUUCUUGAUUGGUGGUUUAGUACGGGGAUAACUGUUUAAACGUAAUUUAGUAAUGGAGAUUACUUGGAAAGGGUUUCAAGAAGCAUAUUUAUAGCAUGGCAUUUCUACAUGAAAAGUUUUCUACAAGAAAAGUUUUCUACUUGCUUGAAACGUAAACAUUCCAUACGAUAUUUGUGAAGAAUUUCUCGGACUUGGAUACCAAAAUACCACAAAAACCAUUGUCAAAAAUCAUUAAACACAAUAUGACUGUCGACUGUCUGGACGACAAGAUAUGGAGUACAAACGGACUGAACACAGUCGAUAGGAGAAAUGCAUGCCAUUUUUAUUUCAUUUUAUUGUACUUAUUUUUCGCUAUGCCCGAUAAGCAGCAAAAUAAAAAAUAAUAACGCAAACGGCACACACACAAUUUGCAGUGACACACCAAAGGCCACAAUGAUAAUUUUAUCAACUCGAAAAAAAAAAUGUAUAUGUAUUUAAAACGGAGGGAGAGAGAAAAAUAUAAAAAAUAUAUAUUUGCUUUAUCGUGCAAAAAUGGGAAUGAAACGAGCAAACGGCUUCCUUGUGGCUUUCGCAAUUUUCGCAGCAUAUUUGCCACUGUCAGUUUGGCCAAAAGGAUUGUUGGCCAGGCCAGCAACCAAACGGCAGCAGCAUUGCACCGCUGAUUUCAACGCUUUUAAAUUCCUUCACUUCUGCACUGCUGUUGCAGCAGUUAAUUUAAUUUCAGCUCAUAAAUCAAAACUGUGCCGCGCAACAAAAUGUUUGCUUUUGACGCGCCGUUUUUGUCGCCAGACUACCGACAUCACUGGACAUGGACGUGGGACACUGGACAAGUGGAACGGACAUGCAGGACGGCAGCUGGAGGAUCGGGAGUAGGAGCAUGCCAACAGGAUCUGGAGAGCUGACUAAGUCCGAUUCACAGCCACCUGAUGUUUGGCAAACAGCGACAGAAUGUAGCCGCAAUUGGCUGGGGAAUACUAAUGAGCCAAUUUUCUAGCUGCCACAGCAAAAUAGCGAAAAUUAAUGGCUUUGGUAAAAGUGAUAGGAAACUGUAAAAUUCGAUUAAUUAUAUCAACUAUAAAGGACUAAUACCAGAUAUAGUCAUAGUCUAGAUUAUGAUAUACAUAUAUUGUACUAUUUCUAUAAUAAAUAGAUUAUUUUCAAAAUGUUCAAGCUUAAAAUGUGUUUUGUAGUAC